RNAcentral lists this ribosomal RNA (468 nucleotides) under uncultured bacterium. Its description in RNAcentral is "partial 16S ribosomal RNA". It matches the Rfam family "Bacterial small subunit ribosomal RNA", at positions 28 to 507 of the family's 1533-position model. The record is from RNAcentral.
GACGAACGCUGGCGGCGUGCUUAACACAUGCAAGUCGAACGGAAAGGCCCUGCUUUUGUGGGGUGCUCGAGUGGCGAACGGGUGAGUAACACGUGAGUAACCUGCCCUUGACUUUGGGAUAACUUCAGGAAACUGGGGCUAAUCCCGGAUAGGAGCUCCUGCUGCAUGGUGGGGGUUGGAAAGUUUCGGCGGUUGGGGAUGGACUCGCGGCGUAUCAGCUUGUUGGUGGGGUAGUGGCUUACCAAGGCUUUGACGGGUAGCCGGCCUGGGAGGGUGACCGGCCACAUGGGGACGGAGAUACGGCACAGACUACAACGGGAGGCAGCAGUGGGGAAGAGUGCACAAGGGGCGGAAGCAUGAUGCAGCAACGCCGCGUGCGGGAUGACGGCCUUCGGGUUGUAAACCGCUUUCGCCUGUGACGAAGCGUGAGUGACGGUAAUGGGUAAAGAAGCACCGGCUAACUACGUG